AGCAGCCGCGGUAAUUCCAGCUCCAAUAGCGUAUAUUAAAGUUGUUGCAGUUAAAAAGCUCGUAGUUGAAUUUCGAGGUCAAAUUGUCGGUCGUGCCUCGGUACGUACUGGCAUUAUUGAUUUCUCCCUUCUGACGAUCCGCGAUGUCAUUAAUUUGGUGUCGUGGGGAAUCAGGACUGUUACUUUGAAAAAAUUAGAGUGUUUAAAGCAGGCUCACGCUUGAAUACAUUAGCAUGGAAUAAUGAAAUAGGACUUUUGAUUCUAUUUUGUUGGUUUCUAGGAUCAACGUAAUGAUUAAUAGGGAUAGUUGGGGGCAUUAGUAUUCAAUUGUCAGAGGUGAAAUUCUUGGAUUUAUUGAAGACUAACUACUGCGAAAGCAUUUGCCAAGGAUGUUUUCAUUAAUCAAGAACGAAAGUUAGGGGAUCGAAGACGAUCAGAUACCGUCGUAGUCUUAACCAUAAACUAUG
RNAcentral lists this small RNA (467 nucleotides) under uncultured Glomus. RNAcentral describes it as "SSU rRNA". It matches the Rfam family "Eukaryotic small subunit ribosomal RNA", at positions 569 to 1041 of the family's 1831-position model. The record is from RNAcentral. Lineage: Eukaryota; Fungi; Glomeromycota; Glomeromycetes; Glomerales; Glomeraceae.